RNAcentral lists this ribosomal RNA (486 nucleotides) under uncultured bacterium. RNAcentral's name for it is "bacterial SSU rRNA". It matches the Rfam family "Bacterial small subunit ribosomal RNA", at positions 19 to 518 of the family's 1533-position model. The record is from RNAcentral.
CUGGCUCAGAACGAACGCUGGUGGCGUGUCUAUACAUGCAAGUCGAGCGAGGCAGCAAUGCCGAGCGGCGAACGGGUGAGUAACGCGUAAGCAAUCUGCCCCAUAUCAGGAAAUACCCGUGCCAACGCGCGGUUAAUGUCCAGGAGAGUGGCCCUCUGCAUGGAGGGUUGACUAGAGAUUUAUCGGUAUGGGAUGAGCUUGCGUCCGAUUAGCUAGUUGGCGGGGCAACGGCCCACCAAGGCGACGAUCGGUAGCCGGCCUGAGAGGGUGAUCGGCCACAUUGGGACUGAGAUACGGCCCAGACUCCUACGGGAGGCAGCAGUAGGGAAUAUUGCACAAUGGGGGAAACCCUGAUGCAGCAACGCCACGUGUGGGAAGAAGCAUUUCGGUGUGUAAACCACUGUCAUGAGGGAAUAAGGCCCAGUUUAGGCUGGGAUUGAAUGUACCUUGAGAGGAAGCACCGGCAAACUUCGUGCCAGCCGCGGC